CAUCCAUCCGCCUGUGCUUGCACAGUCGCAUUGGGCUGACACCUCUGCCUACUGGGCGGAGGUGCAGCCUUAAGAUCUUCUGUGCGGAGUUUGCUAGGACCCAACUCUUGGACCUUACAGUCUGGGUUGACCUGUAGGCAAGGCCGCACGGAUAGGGUGCCAGGGCUCUCUGAUGUGCCUGGUGCACCGACCAAAUUUACCUU
RNAcentral lists this unclassified non-coding RNA (203 nucleotides) under Aetideus acutus. RNAcentral describes it as "partial ITS2". The record is from RNAcentral. Lineage: Eukaryota; Metazoa; Arthropoda; Copepoda; Calanoida; Aetideidae.